RNAcentral lists this long non-coding RNA (673 nucleotides) under Homo sapiens (human). RNAcentral's name for it is "long non-coding RNA NONHSAT175082". Lineage: Eukaryota; Metazoa; Chordata; Mammalia; Primates; Hominidae. The record is from RNAcentral.
GGGUUUGUUUGUUACUGGUAGUAUCUAAGAUAAAUCCUGGUGUACUCCUAGGUGAAUUUUUGACAGUUGAUGUUGGUUGUGUGGAUGGAUUAUGAACAGUUAUUUGUUUUCUAGAAGGGAUCUGGACAGAUGAUGAUUGUUGAGUAAAAGUAUAGACAAAUGACUUUGGUGGUUGUGUGGUAGAAGUACGGGCAGAUGGUAGUUGUCUGGCAGAGGUGAACACGGCUUGCUGGGAGGAGGUGUUGGCUAUUGGUGUUGGUUGUUUGGUGUUGUAGGCAAGUGGUUGUCCAGCAGAAGUAUGUGCUUCUGGUUUUUCAGAAGAGGUAUAGACAGCUGGUGUUGGUUGUCCAGCAGUGACUUUGGCAGGUGAUAUUGAUUGUCCAGAAAAAGUGUCGCUGAAUUGUGUUGGUUGACCCAAAGGAUUCCCUGUUGUGUUUUGAGAAUUAGCCAAUACCUGUGACAUUGAUGAUGUGAAUAAGGUAGGCUGUGACUGCUUCUCUGUUGUAAUUGUCUCUGUCUUUGAAAAAAAUGUAUUGUUCAGGUGUCCACAAAACAAAAUUAAGAUGAAAUAUUUGGGAUCCAUUUCAGAAUAUUUCCUCGUUAUCUAUAGCGGCUGUUAACUUCUUUUGCAGAAUGCUAAAUUCUUGUUCUAACUGGACAUUUUGGUGAUUUG